CUUUGCUUUUGCUUGGUGCUGAAUUAUUGCUGCUUCUUUUCUUCCCACAAGCCCUUUAGUACGUGGUGGAGGUAUGUGGGAGAGGCUGCAGCUGGGCUCAUAAACGCUGCCCUCCAGAGUGCGCGCUGCAGGUUUAGGUGUGCUGAUUGAUCUCCUAUCUGGAGUCCAAGGCCUCUGUACCCGUCCAGCACCUUCUUUCUGCCCUCUUCGACUGUCUUCUCGCCCCUUACCCAAAUGAAUGCAGAAUGCCAUUCAGCAGACAGUGCUCGGUGUCACAGGGCCAACCUCAAUCUGCCUCAGAAGAUAUACCAUACAGAUUUCUCUCAUGGCCAUUGGGUCUUUUCCUUGUACUACCCUCCAUUAUGUGUCCUAGACACUUCUCACCUAUUGGAACUCUCUUUGGGAAGAAGGCUGAGGAUAAAGCAUGGAACAGAACAGUGGGUCUGUAAAGGGACUGGAUGUGAACUGUGAUAGCUCACUGCAACAUAAUUUUCAUCUCAGAAAAAGAAGGAAAGACAAAAUGUGUUUCUCAAACUAUUCUCUUUAAAGCAGAAGCCAUAAAUUAUAAAAGGAAACAUUGCAAU
RNAcentral lists this long non-coding RNA (584 nucleotides) under Vulpes vulpes (red fox). RNAcentral describes it as "lncRNA (ENSVVUG00000016844.1)". Lineage: Eukaryota; Metazoa; Chordata; Mammalia; Carnivora; Canidae. The record is from RNAcentral.